UCACGAAAAGGUUAAUGUUGGCUGAUAC
This 28-nucleotide small RNA is filed under the name Bombyx mori (domestic silkworm). RNAcentral describes it as "ovarian small RNA-25223". The record is from RNAcentral. Lineage: Eukaryota; Metazoa; Arthropoda; Insecta; Lepidoptera; Bombycidae.